This 497-nucleotide ribosomal RNA is filed under the name uncultured bacterium. RNAcentral describes it as "partial 16S ribosomal RNA". It matches the Rfam family "Bacterial small subunit ribosomal RNA", at positions 28 to 507 of the family's 1533-position model. The record is from RNAcentral.
GAUGAACGCUGGCGGCGUGCCUAAUACAUGCAAGUCGAGCGAACGGACGAGAAGCUUGCUUCUCUGAUGUUAGCGGCGGACGGGUGAGUAACACGUGGAUAACCUACCUAUAAGACUGGGAUAACUUCGGGAAACCGGAGCUAAUACCGGAUGAUAUUUUGAACCGCAUGGUUCAAAAGUGAAAGACGGUCUUGCUGUCACUUAUAGAUGGAUCCGCGCUGCAUUAGCUAGUUGGUAAGGUAACGGCUUACCAAGGCAACGAUGCAUAGCCGACCUGAGAGGGUGAUCGGCCACACUGGAGCUGAGACACGGUCCAGACUCCUACGGGAGGCAGCAGUAGGGAAUCUUGCGCAAUGGGCGAAAGCCUGACGGAGCAACGCCGCGUGAGUGAUGAAGGUCUUCGGAUCGUAAAACUCUGUUAUUAUGGAAGAACAUAUGUGUAAGUAACUGUGCACAUCUUGACGGUACCUAAUCAGAAAGCCACGGCUAACUACGUG